Pipistrellus kuhlii (Kuhl's pipistrelle) is the source of this 105-nucleotide small nuclear RNA. NCBI's taxonomy places the organism in Eukaryota, Metazoa, Chordata, Mammalia, Chiroptera, Vespertilionidae. The record is from RefSeq and is a predicted model, not a curated record.
CUCUCAAAUAUGGCAGCUCAUAUAAAACUGGAACCAUACAGAGAAGAUUGGCAUGGCCCCUUGCACAAGGAUGUUACUCAAACUCACUAAGCAUUCUCUCUAUAC